AAGCUUUGCAGAUUGUCUUUUGCUCCAAGUUAUUUUUGGUGAUUAUUUUUUUAGUGGUUUUUCAGCACUAGUGGCACUAGGCUCUCAGACAGGUUAUCCCGUCUCUCCCGCUAGAUUGAUGAGAUCAGGCAUC
Marmota marmota marmota (Alpine marmot) is the source of this 133-nucleotide unclassified non-coding RNA. The record is from Ensembl. NCBI's taxonomy places the organism in Eukaryota, Metazoa, Chordata, Mammalia, Rodentia, Sciuridae.